CGAAGGGGGCUAGCGUUGUUCGGAAUUACUGGGCGUAAAGCGCACGUAGGCGGAUACUUAAGUCAGGGGUGAAAUCCCGGGGCUCAACCCCGGAACUGCCUUUGAUACUGGGUAUCUGGAGUCCGGAAGAGGUGAGUGGAAUUCCGAGUGUAGAGGUGAAAUUCGUAGAUAUUCGGAGGAACACCAGUGGCGAAGGCGGCUCACUGGUCCGGUACUGACGCUGAGGUGCGAAAGCGUGGGGAGCAAACAGGAUUAGGUACCCUGGUAGUCCACGCCGUAAACGAUGGAAGCUAGCCGUUGGCAAGUUUACUUGUCGGUGGCGCAGCUAACGCAUUAAGCUUCCCGCCUGGGGAGUACGGUCGCAAGAUUA
Molecule: ribosomal RNA, 370 nt
Filed under: uncultured organism
Description: bacterial SSU rRNA
Rfam family: Bacterial small subunit ribosomal RNA
Source: RNAcentral